This is a long non-coding RNA of Stegostoma tigrinum, 1511 nucleotides long. RefSeq lists it as uncharacterized. Lineage: Eukaryota; Metazoa; Chordata; Chondrichthyes; Orectolobiformes; Stegostomatidae. The record is from RefSeq and is a predicted model, not a curated record. The transcript has 2 exons.
CUCCCUGUGAGGGGAAGGAUUCGACAUACUGAUUCCAGUAGUUCUCAGUUAUUAACGUUUAAAAACAUCGCCCGUUCACCUUUUCUGCUCCAAGAACAAUCCCUGCACGCCGAUAUUUUUGGUAGAAAGCACAAAUGCGACAAUGCAGAUGAAUGAUGAUAUUGACUAUUCCAGUACGAUACUGCUUUGGAAAACAUCGUGAUUACGACUUUGUAUUCCAAGUCAAAAGAAUUGAAAAAAAAUCCUUUGGAGGGGUGGGGGAAAAUUUGUGUACAUGCAAGCCACCAUCAUAUUUAUCUGUAAUACAACAUAACGUAAUCAGGCGUUCGGCAAUUUGAUUUUUGUGGCGUUAUCGGAAUGGGGUUUGACGGUUUGAAGUGGAUGAAUAUGCAGAUCCCGCAAAAUUCGGUUCUACCAUAAGAUUACAGCUGAGCCGCCUCAAUGCAUUUCCACACUGCAACACAAAAGCCAUGGGGAACAUUUUAAAGCCUGAAAAUCGAGGACGAGAAACUGUUGCUGCGGGUGGUGGUGAUGGAUACGUUCCCAAAUCUUCCUCCACCCCAUACCAUCCCCUCCGAAAAAUGAAGAGGAUGACCAAAACAAGCCCUGAACCGAGGACAUCCAUCAGCAGACGGACUGGACUGCGAGUUCUGAUCUGAUCUCGUCAGCCAGCAUUCGCCUGCCUCUUGCCCUCCCCAAAAGAGAGAGUGAGGGGUAGAAAAUGAGGAAGAAAACAGAGAGAGACAGAGAAACAAGAGGCAGCCGAACGGUUGGCACCUUCCUCUCUCACACACACAAUGUCCCCAGCCAUUGGAUUCCUUAUUUUUCUCUCUCUCUCUCUCUCUCCCUCCCUCUUUCCCCCCCUUUUGCAUUAAUGCUACGUGCAUGAUGUGCGUGUUAAGUGUUGGUGCCACCGUCUCUCAAUUGACUCCUUUCCCUCCGUCUCCUCACUUACCCCUUACGUAGUUUUACUCGUCACUGAUUACGGUGCGCCAGGAGUGGAUGGCUGUGCUGAUACGUAGCCGCCACGUCAAAAAAAUACACUGAGAGCGUCACCUCCAGUCCCCUCAAACCAGGCGAGGCCGCAGCACCCGGCUCGCGCGCACAACCCGGAUCGCUGCGCCGCCGACGCGGCAACUCGACGCCCCAUUGGCCAACAGCCCCAACGGACCGGCCUUCCAAACCACGCGAGAGAGCCGAGCCCCGCCACCAUUGGCUGACGCGGCCUUCUUCACGCGUUCAGAGGCGGUGGGCGAGGAAGAACGGUUUUCUCCGCCGAGCCCGGAUCUUGUUUUUCCCCUUUUGGCUGUUUGGCUAGUCUUGCUCUCCCGCUGUAAAAGAGGAAGGAAAGGGGGUGGGGGAGGAAAGAAAAUACAGGAAUAAGGAAUUUGUGGCUUUUCUUAUUACCUGAAAUUUUCGUUGCAUUGCUUUUGUUUUAAAAACUAAAAUGGCGGUUUUAAUUUGCGGCAAGAGAUGUGGCCGUAAAUAAAUGUUUUGGUGUUUUAAUGAAA